UAUUCAUGGUGUGAGCAUUGUUAGUGAUUUGAAGCGAUGUCAUGCUUCAUGAAAGGACUCAGUAUCCUUUUGAUAAAAGUUAGAGAUUUCAGCCCUGAAUUC
This is a non-coding RNA of Ricinus communis (castor bean), 102 nucleotides long. The record is from Rfam. NCBI's taxonomy places the organism in Eukaryota, Viridiplantae, Streptophyta, Magnoliopsida, Malpighiales, Euphorbiaceae.